Molecule: ribosomal RNA, 467 nt
Filed under: uncultured bacterium
Lineage: Bacteria
Description: partial 16S ribosomal RNA
Rfam family: Bacterial small subunit ribosomal RNA
Source: RNAcentral
ACGAACGCUGGCGGCGUGCUUAACACAUGCAAGUCGAACGGAAAGGCCCUGCGUUUGUGGGGUGCUCGAGUGGCGAACGGGUGAGUAACACGUGAGUAACCUGCCCUUGACUUUGGGAUAACUUCAGGAAACUGGGGCUAAUACCGGAUAGGAGCUCCUGCUGCAUGGUGGGGGUUGGAAAGUUUCGGCGGUUGGGGAUGGACUCGCGGCUUAUCAGCUUGUUGGUGGGGUAGUGGCUUACCAAGGCUUUGACGGGUAGCCGGCCUGAGAGGGUGACCGGCCACAUUGGGACUGAGAUACGGCCCAGACUCCUACGGGAGGCAGCAGUGGGGAAUAUUGCACAAUGGGCGGAAGCCUGAUGCAGCAACGCCGCGUGCGGGAUGACGGCCUUCGGGUUGUAAACCGCUUUCGCCUGUGACGAAGCGUGAGUGACGGUAAUGGGUAAAGAAGCACCGGCUAACUACGUG